RNAcentral lists this ribosomal RNA (451 nucleotides) under uncultured bacterium. Its description in RNAcentral is "partial 16S ribosomal RNA". It matches the Rfam family "Bacterial small subunit ribosomal RNA", at positions 28 to 523 of the family's 1533-position model. The record is from RNAcentral.
GAUGAACGCUGGCGGCGUGCCUAAUACAUGCAAGUCGAACGAGGUCUUCGGACCUAGUGGCGAAUGGGUGAGUAACACGUUGGUACCUACCCCGAAGUGGGGAAUAACUGCCCGAAAGGGUGGCUAAUACCGCAUAAUACCGCAAGGUUAAAGCAGUAAUGCGCUUCGGGAGGGGCCUGCGUCCCAUUAGCUAGUUGGUAGGGUAAUGGCCUACCAAGACGACGAUGGGUAGCUGGAUCGAGAGGUUGACCAGCCACACUGGGACUGAGAUACGGCCCAGACUCCUACGGGAGGCAGCAGUAAGGAAUCUUCCACAAUGGACGAAAGUCUGAUGGAGCAACGCCGCGUGCAGGAUGACGGCCUUCGGGUUGUAAACUGCUUUUAUGCGGGAAGAUUAUGACGGUACCGUAUGAAUAAGGACCGGCUAACUACGUGCCAGCCGCCGCAGUAA